CUUAAGCCAUCCCUGACACAGUGUCGUGUAGAUUUUGUUCUGCUCGGUACAGUUGUUUGACAGGUGAACUCAGGAACAAACUGCAGAUACACUGAGGACAGCACACAGGGUUAUCACAGAAGACCACCUGGACAUGGAUCACCUGUUUGUGCUGCUGCUGCUGUGCAGCUCUGGACUCCAGGCUGAAGGAGAACUAACAGAGUCUGUGAGGUUGGUGGGAGGAAACAGUCGCUGUGCAGGAACACUGGAGGUGAAACAUCUGGGAGAAUGGAGACCAGUGGAGGGUCACAGUGCCUGGAC
Molecule: long non-coding RNA, 300 nt
Organism: Perca fluviatilis (European perch)
Lineage: Eukaryota; Metazoa; Chordata; Actinopteri; Perciformes; Percidae
Exons: 4
Source: RefSeq, a predicted model, not a curated record